Long non-coding RNA from Triticum dicoccoides, 1017 nucleotides. RefSeq lists it as uncharacterized. The transcript is spliced from 4 exons. NCBI's taxonomy places the organism in Eukaryota, Viridiplantae, Streptophyta, Magnoliopsida, Poales, Poaceae. The record is from RefSeq and is a predicted model, not a curated record.
ACUCCCUCGUCUCUCCCGAAUCGCCGCCACCAUUGCCUCGUCUCCCUUGCGCCGACCCUCCCCACCUCCCACCUCAAAGCUCUGGAGGCUGUCAGAUCCGCCAAAUCCCGACCCAACCGUCCCUCUCGCGUCCCAUCCUGAUCUCUUCACGCGGCUCCUCGCCGCUCUACGUGCGGCGGCUCCAUCAGGUAAUGUCCGGCGAAUCCCGCCACCGCGAAGCACAGGCCGAGGUCCCUUCGAUCCGUGGAGCCCUCCCAUCCAGCUAGAUCCAGCGCUUGAGUCCACGACAGCCCACCCGCGACCCAUCCCCCAUGGCUAGGGUUCCGGGCGUCGGAUCUGGUGCCAGUGGCCAUGUCGUUGUCGUCCUCGUCUCAUACGUUGAGUGCAUCCCCUCCCCUGGCUUCAUCAUCUCUCUCUCCCUUGUCUAACCUCUGCUCUUCACUUCUCAUGUAGACGUGCGGGGAGGAACGUCCAGUGGACAACCUUGCUGCGGCUCGGGAUGAAUCAGCCACGAGCUUCCUCCUCCUCCGGCUUCAGCGGAGGUGUAGCAACGGCAGUUUGAAGCAGAUUAGGCGCCCCGGGCGUCUUUGCCAGCGAGGCUGUCGAGUGAAGGAAAUGGCAGUGUGGCGAUUUGUUUUCUAUUCUCCAUCCUUAAAGCUCAUAACAGAAGAAAGAACUAUACAAUUGACUUUAUCACUGUAGUUUUAUUAAGAAAAAAACCUGUCUUUUACGCAUGUAUUGAUUCUCCUCUUGACUCGAUUGUGUUGUAGGGAGUGAAAGCAUCCAGUUGGGGUGGUCUGCAGCUCUGGUCGCCUCCAGCAGCACUACAUAAUCAAAGUUCCAAACAAUAGUACUGCACUGCUGCCUCCAGUCAACCACAACAUAAUCAUUGCUGCACGCACCACUUGUUGUAGGGGGACACCAUGGAAGGUGUACAAAAUUAGCAAUGGAUCUCUAGGCUGGUGAUGACCAUGUAAAUUCGUUUCAGUGGAUUUGGGGCUGUAAUUCGUUCCAAAG